RNAcentral lists this transfer RNA (62 nucleotides) under Caulobothrium sp. MZUSP 7989. Its description in RNAcentral is "tRNA-Lys". Lineage: Eukaryota; Metazoa; Platyhelminthes; Cestoda; Tetraphyllidea. The record is from RNAcentral. RNAcentral also lists the same sequence under 1 other name.
GCUUGUAUAUCUAAGUUAAGUGCUGGGUUCUUACCUCAGUAAUGUGUUAAUCACUACAGGCU